Molecule: ribosomal RNA, 483 nt
Filed under: Triticum aestivum (bread wheat)
Lineage: Eukaryota; Viridiplantae; Streptophyta; Magnoliopsida; Poales; Poaceae
Description: partial small subunit ribosomal RNA
Source: RNAcentral
AUGAUUCUGGGCUAUUCGCCCGAUGAGAGCCAGAGCAUCGCUAACCGGCUUAACUGUCGGUUGGGGACAUUCCCCACUACCUACCUGGGGGUCCCCAUUAGUGACUCCCACCUGACCAUGUCCGACCUACGGCCCUCGGUGCUCAAGCUCUAACACCGCAUCGAGCCGUGGCAGGGUCGUUGGCUCUCUAAGGUGGCUCGUACGAUCCUCAUCAACUGGUCCCUUUCCAGCCUCCUUCUAUUCAUCAUGAGCUUCUAUAGCCUCCCCAAGACUCUCCACCAUGAGAUUGGUUCGGUCCAGGCCCGGUUCUAUUGGGCGGGCGAGGGCGACAAGCAAAAGUACCAUAUAGUGUGCUGGUCUGAAAUCUGUAAGCCCCGGGAUCAAGGUGGUCUUGGUAUCAUGUCCUCCAAACGCAUGAACCUGGCACUCCUCAGUCGUUGGCUCUGGUGCAUUGCGAAUGGCGAUGGCGGCCUGUGGUUGUAG